This 468-nucleotide ribosomal RNA is filed under the name uncultured bacterium. RNAcentral describes it as "partial 16S ribosomal RNA". It matches the Rfam family "Bacterial small subunit ribosomal RNA", at positions 28 to 507 of the family's 1533-position model. The record is from RNAcentral.
GACGAACGCUGGCGGCGUGCUUAACACAUGCAAGUCGAACGGAAAGUCCCUGCUUUUGUGGGGUGCUCGAGUGGCGAACGGGUGAGUAACACGUGAGUAACCUGCCCUUGACUUUGGGAUAACUUCAGGAAACUGGGGCUAAUACCGGAUAGGAGCUCCUGCUGCAUGGUGGGGGUUGGAAAGUUUCGGCGGUUGGGGAUGGACUCGCGGCUUAUCAGCUUGUUGGUGGGGUAGUGGCUUACCAAGGCUUUGACGGGUAGCCGGCCUGAGAGGGUGACCGGCCACAGUGGGACUGAGAUACGGCCCAGGCUCCUACGGGAGGCAGCAGUGGGGAAUAUUGCACAAUGGGCGGAAGCCUGAUGCAGCAACGCCGCGUGCGGGAUGACUGCCUUCGGGUUGUAAACCGCAUUCGCCUGUGACGAAGCGUGAGUGACGGUAAUGGGUAAAGAAGCACCGGCUAACUACGUG